AGUUUUGAAAUUUAAAUUUGAAUAUAUAUAUUAAAUGUGGAAUAAAAUUAAUUUAUUUCAGACUUGGGUGAUACAUAUUUUAUCUACCAACUUUAAAUAACAACAGAAAGAAGACGAGUGCUGCUUGCACUAUUGGUUAAGAAGUAGCAGCACAUAUGUAUACAUUUAAUAUAUCGCGUAAUACGGAGAAUAUAGACAUCACUGAAACUUGAAAAUAAUAUAGACGAAAUUCUGCGAAACGCUUGGCAAGAAUGUUUUUGUUAAUCAAGAAAGACAGAGUGAGGCUCAAAGGCGAUCAGACAAUGCCCUUGUUCUAACCAUAAAUGAUGCCAGCCAGCGAUAUGGUUAUGUUUUCAACUAACGUGGCCGGCAAUUUUCAGGAAACCGAAACUUUUGGGUU
RNAcentral lists this non-coding RNA (400 nucleotides) under Stegodyphus mimosarum. Its description in RNAcentral is "Eukaryotic small subunit ribosomal RNA". It matches the Rfam family "Eukaryotic small subunit ribosomal RNA", at positions 666 to 1113 of the family's 1831-position model. Lineage: Eukaryota; Metazoa; Arthropoda; Arachnida; Araneae; Eresidae. The record is from Rfam by way of RNAcentral.